GACGAACGCUGGCGGCGUGCUUAACACAUGCAAGUCGAACGGAACUCUUUGGAUCAAGGCUUCGGCCAAGUGAAUUUGAGUUUAGUGGCGGACGGGUGAGUAACGCGUGAGGAACCUGCCUUUCAGAGGGGGACAACAGUUGGAAACGACUGCUAAUACCGCAUAACGCAUAGGAGUCGCAUGGCUCUUAUGCCAAAGAUUUAUCGCUGAAAGAUGGCCUCGCGUCUGAUUAGCUAGUUGGUGAGGUAACGGCCCACCAAGGCGACGAUCAGUAGCCGGACUGAGAGGUUGACCGGCCACAUUGGGACUGAGAUACGGCCCAGACUCCUACGGGAGGCAGCAGUGGGGAAUAUUGGGCAAUGGGCGCAAGCCUGACCCAGCAACGCCGCGUGAAGGAAGAAGGCUUCGGGUUGUAAACUCUUUAUGAGGGACGAAGGACGUGACGGUACCUCAUGAAUAAGCCACGGCUAACUACGUG
This 478-nucleotide ribosomal RNA is filed under the name uncultured bacterium. RNAcentral's name for it is "bacterial SSU rRNA". It matches the Rfam family "Bacterial small subunit ribosomal RNA", at positions 28 to 507 of the family's 1533-position model. The record is from RNAcentral.